Molecule: transfer RNA, 79 nt
Filed under: Sitodiplosis mosellana (orange wheat blossom midge)
Lineage: Eukaryota; Metazoa; Arthropoda; Insecta; Diptera; Cecidomyiidae
Description: tRNA-Ser
Source: RNAcentral
AUUAAUUUAUCUUAAAAAAAGAAUUUGUUUUGAAAACAAAAAAUAUUAAUAAUUAAAAUUAAUAUAAUAAAACUUUUAA